Molecule: ribosomal RNA, 460 nt
Filed under: uncultured bacterium
Lineage: Bacteria
Description: partial 16S ribosomal RNA
Rfam family: Bacterial small subunit ribosomal RNA
Source: RNAcentral
CCUACGGGUGGCAGCAGUGAGGAAUAUUGGUCAAUGGACGAGAGUCUGAACCAGCCAAGUAGCGUGAAGGAUGACUGCCCUAUGGGUUGUAAACUUCUUUUAUAUGGGAGUAAAAUGUUCCACGUGUGGGAUUUUGUAUGUAACAUAUGAAUAAGGAGCGGCUAACUCCGUGCCAGCAGCCGCGGUAAUACGGAGGAUCCGAGCGUUAUCCGGAUUUAUUGGGUGUAGAGGGAGCGUAGGUGGAUUGUUAAGUCAGUUGUGAAAGUUUGCGGCUCAACCGUAAAAUUGCAGUUGAAACUGGCAGGCUUGAGUACAGUAGAGGUGGGCGGAAUUCGUGGUGUAGCGGUGAAAUGCUUAGAUAUCACGAAGAACUCCGAUUGCGAAGGCAGCUCACUGGACUGCAACUGACACUGAGGCUCGAAAGUGUGGGUAUCAAACAGGAUUAGAUACCCGAGUAGUC